This is a long non-coding RNA of Mercenaria mercenaria, 1482 nucleotides long. RefSeq lists it as uncharacterized. Lineage: Eukaryota; Metazoa; Mollusca; Bivalvia; Venerida; Veneridae. The record is from RefSeq and is a predicted model, not a curated record. The transcript has 5 exons.
CACCCAAUGACAGUGCACAAAUGGAGUAACUUAGGGGAUGAGAGGUUGACAGCGCAGCAACUCAACAAACUCAUAGAUGCAUCAGAUGAUCGCUAUGUAGCGGCUGCAGAAAGAAUGAAAAAUGUUGACAUUUUAAUCAUUGAUGAAAUUCCAAUGUUUAGUAAAUCCAUGUUUAAAAUUAUGAGUCAUGUAAGAGGAAGCAGUGAAGUAUUUGGUGGGGCACAGCUUGUCAUUGUAGGAGAUUUUCUUGAUCCCCUCACCCUGUUAGAAGUUCAAGGUAUAAUGAUCCUGGAGAAUUCUGAUUCCAGUCUGAGGUAUUUCCUGUUCAUAGUAUAUAUCUGUUACAUGUUAUGAGACAGACAGAUGAACGAUUUAUUAAAAUAGUGCAUAAUCUUGCCAUUGGAAAGGUUGACCAUGAAACUACCGCUUAUGUUAAAUAUUUAAGAAGGCAUUUAACUCUCCCAGGCCAAGAGACGACAAGACUCUUCUCCGUUAACAUAUUGGCAGACAUUUACAGCAGAGACUGCAAAAUGAAACUCACAGGAAAUGUCUUUGAAUUCGAAAGCAAUUGGCGAGGGCGAGGAGCGGCACUUAAACACCUUGAUCGCCCAGAAGACCCUUUGAUUAAAAAAAAAAUUGCAAAGGUCAGGUUACUGCAUAACCUGUCUGACCAGCUUGUAAAUGUUUUAUGUGGCUCAGUAGUGGAAGUUAGAGAGGGUGAAAUAGAUGACCACUUCUCAACACUAGGCAAGCUUACUACUUUAACAAGGAUGAACUUUGCAGGAUUGCACUCAUGUGAAAUAAUUUCUAAUUCAAGCUGUGACACCUUAUGACUGUUUACUAAUAUUUGAUCCAGCCUCCAACAGAAACGUAGCAGUGAGAAAUCAGGUGCCGCUGAAAUUAUGCUACGCAAUUACAGUGCACAAAGCUCAAGGAAUGACACUUGAUAGGGUUGAAGUUGACUGUAGACAGAUUUUCCAGUCUGGACAGCUAGUUGUGGUGAUGGGUCGUGUUAAGUCACCUGAUGGUUUGCGGGUGGUGAACUUAACUGAAGAUGCUGUUAUCCCACAACCUUCUCUGGUGUUAGAUUUCUUGAAUGGCCAGUGGAUACCAGCAGAGGUUGAUAAAUCCUGCUGCCAUACAAUAUGUAACAGACAUGUAGAAGAAGGGAAAGCCAUUAGACUCUGAUAUUGAUUUUGAUGAUGAUACCACUGAGCUGUUAGAAGGUCUUGACAUUGAAAGUUUAAUUUUUGAAUCACAAAAGACUGUACAACGACCAAAUUUGUCUCUCCCAAAAGAAAUCAAAAUAGAGGAAGAACUGAAUUUAUUAAAGUUUGAAGAACCCCGGAGAGAAAAUCAGACUGUUCACAAUCAUUUCAUUCAGUAUUUACUUGAUAAUAGUGCUUUCAUCUUUUACAAAUGUUCAAUGAAACUGUGAAAGACAGUAAGACAUAAGAAGCACAGGCUGGCUUUUUCAGAGCC